This is a non-coding RNA of Oryzias latipes (Japanese medaka), 3292 nucleotides long. Lineage: Eukaryota; Metazoa; Chordata; Actinopteri; Beloniformes; Adrianichthyidae. The record is from RefSeq and is a predicted model, not a curated record.
GAAACAGAAACAAUAGAAGGAAGCAAAAUAAUUUGAGAGAUAUUUCCAGUGACACAUUCCUCCUGAUGGAAAAAGUAAUUCACCAAGCAAGUGAACAACUUGUGCCACAUUCUGGGUUCUGUCUCCAAUUUGUUUUGACAGCUCACAGUCCCUCGGUGUUAAACUCUGCUGAGCGGGGAAGGAAAACAUCGGGGGCAGAGGGUUAGAGCGCCAUUUCCGGACUUCCCCUCCUGAUGAUGCUCCAUCAUGCAAAUCCUUUCCAUUCAAAAAAAGGAGCCUUGACUUUUCUCACCACCACCCACACUCUGAGAAACGCUCAUCGGUUCUGACAGGCCAAGAGUCGAGCAGGGGAGAAAAUCCGAGCAGCAGUUUGUCUCUGACCAAAGGAGAGGUGACACGGGUCCAGAACCUGCCACCGUUUGACCCGGGAAAGCAGAAGCGGGACUUGGCAGCAGCAGUCUAAGCUAAGAUGCCCAGACGUCGUUCUUCCUGGAAACCUCCUCUGGGGCGACCCUAAGGCGUUCCAGGCCAGUCGAGAGACAUCCUUUUAGAUGUGGAGGUGCAGCAGCAAGACUUCGAAGUCUCUCCGGCGAUGAAACAUGCGGCAUCAACGUGCAUGUCACUGCGUUCCCCGCGGGCUCGGGAACAAAUGAGGAGGGAGGAGUGAUGCGGGUGAUGAGGCACGCCGGGAUGUCAACAGAUGACAAGGAGGGCAGAUGGGGGAGUGGAGGAGAGAAAAGGGGGAGCGAUAACCCGAUGAAAAGAGAUAGAAGAAUUCCCUGGAAACUUGGAACUUGAAAAGAAAUGAUUAAUGAGGCCAGAUGUUAAGCUUGUUUGAGAUGAAUCGUCCCAUUCCACAUGACAAAGCAAAAAAGGCAGGGGAAAAAAAGCCCCCCACCCCACCCGCCCUGGCACAUCAGAGCAGCAGAAGACUGAUACACCAGACCAAAGAGUUUAUCAUUUAAUCCUCUCCUGGAUCAGGCCACUUCCGUUUUACCUGAUCGGGGCAGGAGCCGGAAAUGUUUUCAGAUUUUGUUGUUGCUCGACUGCAAUGACUUCCGCUGGGGUGGUGGUGGUGGUGGUGGUGGUGGGGGGGGGGUAGUUUUUAAUCAGACGGGACCGUUUUAAGCGUCCUUGAUAAUUACUGCAUUUAACAUGAAACUUGUUUGUAAAUUGUAAAACAAAACAGACAAACAUUUUGCCAUGUCCCAUGUCCAUCAACCAGAAUAUUCUCUCUCUCUCUCUCUCUCUCUCUAUAUAUAUAUAUAUAUGUAUAUAUUAUACAUAUACUGUCGUUUAUCAAACAAGUUAAGGUUAAGGUUAAGUGCAACAUGUGGCGUGUAAAAUAAUCAUAUAUUAAUCUUGUUAUUUUUCAAGUUUAAAUUGUUCCUCAUAAAAAACACACUGUGCGAUGAGUUGUCAUGGUAACGGCAUCAGAGCCUGCAGCAACCGGCUAUGCCGUGCCAGCGUCGGGGGGGUCCUGGCUGCCGCUUCGGCGGGGGUCUUGGUGUGGGGACGGUCGGGCACUCUCCCUCCUUUUACAUUCCAUCAUCCACCUCAGUAGAACAUAAACACCCACCUGUCAGCUCAGCUUUGCACUAAUAGUAUGUGUGACGGAAUGAAAUGCUUUACAUGCGUUGGUUUGUAUGCAUGCAGCGGAGGGAAGAACUAUUUAACCCUCUUCAAGAUUUCUUAUUUCUUUCCAUGUUUUCCACUCUUAAAUGUGUCAUAUCAUCAAACACAUUAAAACAAGAGUCAAAGACAUCAAAAAGUAACCAAACAAUGCAGUUUUCAAAUUUUUUUUUUUAUAUAAUUAAGGGAGAAAAGAAAUGAAACCUUUAUUCAAGUGUGGAAAAAAACAUGGAAAAAUUAAGAAAUCUUGAAGAGGGGCAAAUAUGUCGUCACACCACGUGUAUGUGUGUGUGAACUGUAGUUGUGUUGAGUACACAUUGACAUGACUGCAUGUGAAGAUUCUUGAAGCCAACAGGUAUGUUUAGUAUGUAUAUGGACAGGCCCCGCCCCUUUUGACUAACAUUUAUACCAGACAGUAAUGAUGAUAAUCCUCCAGCAUCAUGCUACUUAAUGAUUAUCCCCCCCCCCCCCCCCCCCCCACACACACAUCUCUGUAGUCAUCCUCCAGAUCUCCUUUUUGUCUCUUCUGCCCUCACCCCCCGUCUCUAACAUCCCUCUCUUCCCUCCAUUUUGAAAAAAUGUUUUUUAGGAAAUUUAUCACAUGCCACUCUGAUUUGAUUUAAUUACUGAUGCAAUUUUUUCUUCAUUAUUUAGUCACACAUUUUAUCACCAUAAACUAUUGUUUUAAUGAAUGAACGAUGCACUUGACAAAUAAAGUGACAAAUAAAGUUUUACACCACACUGAGAUGUAAAAACUGAAGAAAAAAAUGGACUUUGAUGUCCAAACUGAGGCAUAUCGGACCUCAUGUGUUUUUUACUUUGUGCUUCAGUCUUAAGUAGACCAAAAAAGUCUUUUUAAGAACUCUGUCUUUCAUUUCUCCUUCUUUCUUUGAAGAAGCUUCUCCAAAAAAUAAGGCCUUUUCACUUUCAUCUCAGCCUUGGAGAAAUUCCUCUUAAAGUGUUUUUUAAAUGUUGAGUUCAUCCGUCAAACACCUGUGGAGAUUUCCAUCAAGCAUGAAAGAAAUGAACUGUGAUCCUCCAUUAGAUUGUGGUUAGUUAGGUUUUUUUUUUUUUUAUCAACUCCACAGAGAAUACCACUCACUAACAACCUACAAGCAAACUGGGUCAGCCAUAAAACAUCAGCUCAAACUGCUGUUAACUUACUUUGUCAGAAAGCUCAUUUAAAAUCCGGAGUGGAACUUUGGCAGCCCGAGUCUUCCUCCAGCAGUAAUAAAACAUAAGGAGACCUAAUGCACACACAGCCAACAGGCAGCUGGGCCUCCGCCGUCCCUGUUGCCCUCACCAGCAGAGGAGGCCAUCCAUAAUUAACCUCACUCUGUCAGGUUUAGGCAGCAACCAUAACAUGUCCUCACAAGUCAUUCGAAGCCUUUUUCUUCCCCGCCGUCAUUUUCUCCAGCGCCAACAUCUGUCGCUCCCCGUGUAAGGUUUGCUCUGGGAUGGGGUGAGGAGAAAGACAGAAAAAAAAAACACUUUGAUGUGCUGAGCUUACUUCACAUCCCUCUCUCAAAGGCUUUGGACAGCAAAAGACACACGGGCGAGAAUGUGCUUCUCAUUUGAGUUCAUUGAAGUGUAUUUAUGUCAUUUAUACGUUUUUAUUGCAGCCCAAGGGCUUUUUGGAGCGUCUCUGCCUUCAGAGUUG